UAGGGAAUCUUCCACAAUGGGGGAAACCCUGAUGCAGCGACGCCGCGUGAGUGAAGAAGUAUUUCGGUAUGUAAAGCUCUAUCAGCAGGGACGAAAAUGACGGUACCUGAGUAAGAAGCCCCGGCUAACUACGUCACUGCAGCCGCGGUAAUACGUAGGGGGCAAGCGUUAUCCGGAUUUACUGGGUGUAAAGGGAGCGUAGACUGUUAAGCAAGUCUGGAGUGAAAGGCGGGGGCUCAACCCCCGGACUGCUCUGGAAACUGUAUAACUAGAGUGCAGGAGGGGUAAGUGGAAUUCCUAGUGUAGCGGUGAAAUGCGUAGAUAUUAGGAGGGACACCAGUGGCGAAGGCGGCUUACUGGACUGUAACUGACGUUGAGGCUCGAAAGCGUGGGGAGCAAACAGG
This 404-nucleotide ribosomal RNA is filed under the name uncultured bacterium. RNAcentral's name for it is "bacterial SSU rRNA". It matches the Rfam family "Bacterial small subunit ribosomal RNA", at positions 355 to 776 of the family's 1533-position model. The record is from RNAcentral.